This is a non-coding RNA of Trichonephila clavata, 72 nucleotides long. NCBI's taxonomy places the organism in Eukaryota, Metazoa, Arthropoda, Arachnida, Araneae, Nephilidae. The record is from the annotation of a GenBank genome assembly.
GGUUCCGUGGUGUAACAGUUAGCACUCUGGACUUUGAAUCCUUCGAUCCGAGUUUAAAUCUUGGUGGAACCU